UUAUGUAGCAAAUUUCUAUAUUUAAUGAUAAAAAAAAAAUCUGACGAAGGGCGUUUUUUUUUAAUUGGCAGUAAUGCCAACAAUAAAAAAGAAACACAAAAUGUGUUACCACUUUUAUUAAUGAAAUUUACAACAAUACGUAUGUUUAUUCUUGAGGCUACUAACAGAACACAUUUACAGAUCCACAUUAAUUUAUCAAUCAAAAAUAUAUUUUGGAAAAAUAUUGACGUUUGGGAUCCUCCCGCCAAAAAGGCCGACUAAAAAUUAGUGCCGUGUGGUUCCCGGCACCAAUACAAAAAAGAAUAGGACCACUCCAUCUCUUUGUUUGUGUGUUUCAUACACAUAAUCACGUCUAUAUCCCUUGCGGGGUAGACAGAGCCAACAGUCUUGAAAAUACCGAAAGGCCACGUUCAGCUGCCUAGUUCAAUGAUAGAAUUGAGAUUCCAAUAGUGACAGGUUGCUAGCCCAUCGUCUAAAAGAAGAAUCCCGAGUUUAUAAGCCUAUCCCUUAGUCGCAUUUUACGACAUCCAUGGGAACGGGAUGGAGUGGUCCUAUUCUUUUUUUUUUUUAUUGGUGCCGGGAACCGCACGGCACUUAUCUAAUAUGCACCACGGUUUUACAUUUAUGGUUACAUAAAUAAGACAUUUGUACUAGCUGCAUUCUCGUCAUGUAAAAUCUACGGAGGUAGUAUGAUGAUGAGGGUGUAAAAAUAUUUAACAAUUUUAAACUGGACGCGUCUAUAUUUUUUUUUAUACCAUUGUAUUUUUUUUUUGCAAGACGAUUUAUCAUGUGCCAUUUUUUGUUUUUUUUUUAUAUUUGAAGUACUUUUGGUAUGUAUAUAAUUAAAGGUUAUUUAAAAUUAAUAGGCCUACGGUGUACAAAGUUCGGAUACGAGUGAUUUUUUUUUUAGACAUAUGUCCAGCUAGACCCUGCUGGUAUAUUUUAUUUGAGAGUCGAAUAAUACACAAUCCAUGUUUUUAUCACAUAAGUGAUUAUUGUGUCAUUUAUAUAAGUCCAGUCGUGUGGAAAUGUUUGUAAAAAUGGUAACGCCCAAGUACAGUCAGCCGUAAUAUAACUAACUUGGUAAAAGAAACGAAUUUUCAAUGGAUUUGGGUGGGUUAAUAUGCUGUUGUUGUUGACUGUACUGUUAUGUUGGUUUAAUUAAUUUUCCAAAUUAUUUUAAAUUGUCUUAAUUCCGUAGUAGCGUAAUGUAAAGAUUAAUAAUUUAUUUUGAUUUGUAAGUCUAAUUUAUUUAAACUUUGGCGAGUAUUAUAUAUAUUAUAUGUACCUAUGGAUGUUAUGGUCAGAUUUAUAUUUAAAAAGUAUGUCUUAGUUUUGUUUUAAAAUCCCUUUUUAGUGAAUUUAUUUUAUUUAAUAUUGUUUUGGGGUGUUUAUUAAGGUACCUAAGUACGAAGACAUGAUUUUACAUACAUAUUUCUUUUAUUUUUUUAAAUCAGACCAUGAAAAGAAAAAUAUUAUUAUGUUGUAAAAAAAAUUAGGGCACAUUAAAUGAAAAGUAUGUAUACGUAGAAAUUGUCUAUUAAAAGGAAAAAAAAAACGAAAGGUAACCGUAUGAGGGUAAUAAAAUGUAUGGAAAAUUAUUAGACUGUAUGUAAGAUUAUAAAAUUAUUUAACCUUAACCUCUAAGGAUGUUUAAUCGUAAUUUCGUAGACAGGGUUGGUCUAUUUGAUUUAGAUAAAUGCGCGCAAAUAUCUUUGCCUACUUAAAAAAAAGCACACGUCACAAUUUUGCGCGAAAUAUCUUCAUGAUUUGGCAUACUACUCGUAAGUGAUUAUCUUUGCCUGUCGCCUAAAACGAAGUUGAACGUUAGUAUUUUUAGCGCGAAACUACUCGAAAAAAAAAACUAAAACAGUUUUUUCCCACCAUAAAUGUAAAAUUUACUUCGCUUUUUGUAUAAAAUUGUUUAUUUUCAAAUAA
This is a long non-coding RNA of Amyelois transitella, 1938 nucleotides long. RefSeq lists it as uncharacterized. The transcript is spliced from 2 exons. The record is from RefSeq and is a predicted model, not a curated record. NCBI's taxonomy places the organism in Eukaryota, Metazoa, Arthropoda, Insecta, Lepidoptera, Pyralidae.